This 376-nucleotide ribosomal RNA is filed under the name Chloropicon mariensis. RNAcentral's name for it is "partial Bacterial small subunit ribosomal RNA". It matches the Rfam family "Bacterial small subunit ribosomal RNA", at positions 1145 to 1522 of the family's 1533-position model. The record is from RNAcentral. Lineage: Eukaryota; Viridiplantae; Chlorophyta; Chloropicophyceae; Chloropicales; Chloropicaceae.
GAGACUGCCGGGGUUAACUCGGAGGAAGGUGGGGAUGACGUCAAAUCAUCAUGCCCCUUAUGACCUGGGCUACACACGUGCUACAAUGGUCGGUACAAAGGGUUGCUACCUAGCGAUAGGAUGCUAAUCUCAAAAAGCCGAUCGUAGUCCGGAUUGGAGUCUGCAACUCGACUCCAUGAAGUCGGAAUCGCUAGUAAUCGCGGAUCAGCACGCCGCGGUGAAUACGUUCCCGGGCCUUGUACACACCGCCCGUCACACCAUGGGAGUGGGUUGCAAAAGAAGUAGGUAGCUUAACCUUCGGGAGGGCGCUUACCACUUUGUGAUUCAUGACUGGGGUGAAGUCGUAACAAGGUAGCCGUAGGAACCUGCGGCUGGA